Molecule: regulatory RNA element, 99 nt
Organism: Bacteroides nordii CL02T12C05
Lineage: Bacteria; Pseudomonadati; Bacteroidota; Bacteroidia; Bacteroidales; Bacteroidaceae
Rfam family: TPP riboswitch aptamer (THI element)
About the family: Vitamin B(1) in its active form thiamin pyrophosphate (TPP) is an essential coenzyme that is synthesised by coupling of pyrimidine and thiazole moieties in bacteria. The previously detected thiamin-regulatory element, thi box was extended, resulting in a new, highly conserved RNA secondary structure, the THI element, which is widely distributed in eubacteria and also occurs in some archaea.
Source: Rfam
UUCACAAUACAGGGGUGCCUUAACAUGACGGGCUGAGAACAUACCCAUAGAACCUGAACCGGGUAAUGCCGGCGUAGAGAACGAAUAAAUUACACAAUG